AACGAACGCUGGCGGCAUGCCUAACACAUGCCAGUCGAACGAGACCUUCGGGUCUAGUGGCGCACGGGUGCGUAACGCGUGGGAACCUGCCCUUAGGUUCGGAAUAACUCCCCGAAAGGGGUGCUAAUACCGGAUAAUGUCUUCGGACCAAAGAUUUAUCGCCUUUGGAUGGGCCCGCGUUGGAUUAGCUAGUUGGUAGGGUAAAAGCCUACCAAGGCGACGAUCCAUAGCUGGUCUGAGAGGAUGAUCAGCCACACUGGGACUGAGACACGGCCCAGACUCCUACGGGAGACAGCAGUGGGGAAUAUUGGACAAUGGGCGAAAGCCUGAUCCAGCAAUGCCGCGUGAGUGAUGAAGGCCUUAGGGUUGUAAAGCUCUUUUACCCGGGAUGAUAAUGACAGUACCGGGAGAAUAAGCUCCGGCUAACUCCGUG
RNAcentral lists this ribosomal RNA (433 nucleotides) under uncultured bacterium. RNAcentral's name for it is "partial 16S ribosomal RNA". It matches the Rfam family "Bacterial small subunit ribosomal RNA", at positions 29 to 507 of the family's 1533-position model. The record is from RNAcentral.